UUAUUAGCCUCAGUGAAGAAGUUAUUGUUCUCAUACCUACAUCGAACAUGUUUAAGAAGAAUUAGUUAUAUGGCAACCAAACAAAAUCCAUGGAUAACCACUACUUGGCAUUGCGACCGAAAUUUGCAGUAGAAAAACCAGUUGCGAAUUUAGUGAUAGAUUUGCGACGAGAAUCACAUUAGUCACAAAAUAGACGCAAAGUUCGCAACUGUUUAAAUCCUGUCGUAUAUCAGUCACACAAUUUGAAAAAAAAAAUAAAUGAAAACAAAAAUAACCUUCGGGCACAAAUUAAAUUACACACCGAGGAUUUUGCUAGUACAGGGUGGAUAUAUCUUAGAACAAGAGGUCGUAGUGUAAAUUUUUUGAAAAUUGUACUUUUUUUUCGAUUUUGCUGCCCCUAUAGAAAUUCUUUUUGAAACAUUACCCCCAUAAUUAUUUUCAAGAUCCGCCACUGGCACGUAACAAACCUAUUGACAGAUUCGCGACUGAUAUCACAUCACAUCAGUCGUUAGCUACCGCUAUUAGUAUGGUAACGAAACUACCGCAAGAUUUACGAUCCUUUAAAUUCAGUGGUAAAUCAGUUGCAAAAACUUGAAAAAAUAACCUUUGGGCGCAAAUGAAUUUACCAGAAGUUUUUGCCACCACAAUUUCAGUCGCUAAAGGCUUUUUUUCAUGAUUUGCGACCGAAAUUGCUGUCGCAAAUACUCAGUUUUCUAAUAGCAAAUCAAGCAAGAAGGUAUGCACCUGAGAUCGCAAUCACUAUAAAUAGCAUGAGCACCAUUUCCAAGCCCACAUACUUUCAGCUGAUCAACAGCGUAGUCAAAACAAGACAGACAAUCAGGAACAGAAACAUAUCCCCUGCACCAAGCAAGGCCCCAAACUGACUCACCGUUGAGCAAGGUCCUUGCCGCGGCAUAGCCGCUGGUGGUUAACUGUUUACGGAGGUUAGAUGUUGGGUGGUAUUAAGGUUCCUCAAGAAAUAAGUUGCGCUCACACCUUUGUACAUACUACAAUAAUAUCUCAUCAGAGUGCUAUUUCUAUCAGCUGCCCGCUGUGAUGUCACUGGCUCGGCCAUGGUUGUUAGAACCACCACAACCACCAGCA
RNAcentral lists this long non-coding RNA (1104 nucleotides) under Helianthus annuus (common sunflower). Its description in RNAcentral is "sRNA HanXRQr2_Chr14g0644731". The record is from RNAcentral. Lineage: Eukaryota; Viridiplantae; Streptophyta; Magnoliopsida; Asterales; Asteraceae.